Molecule: ribosomal RNA, 395 nt
Filed under: uncultured bacterium
Lineage: Bacteria
Description: partial 16S ribosomal RNA
Rfam family: Bacterial small subunit ribosomal RNA
Source: RNAcentral
GAUAUUUCACAAUGGGGGAAACCCUGAUGCAGCGACGCCGCGUGAGCGAAGAAGGCCUUCGGGUCGUAAAGCUCCGUCCUAAGGGAAGAAACGGACGGUACCUUAUGAGGAAGCCCCGGCUAACAACUUCACAGCAGCCGCGGUAAUACGUAGGGGGCGAGCGUUAUCCGGAAUUACUGGGGGUAAAGGGUGCGUAGGCGGCCUUUUAAGCCAGAUGUGAAAGGCUACGGCUUAACCGUAGUUAGCAUUUGAAACUAAAAGGCUUGAGUGCAGGAGAGGAGAGUGGAAUUCCUAGUGUAGCGGUGAAAUGCGUAGAUAUUAGGAGGAACACCAGUGGCGAAGGCGACUCUCUGGACUGCAACUGACGCUGAGGCACGAAAGCGUGGGGGGCGAAC